Molecule: unclassified non-coding RNA, 268 nt
Filed under: Hevea brasiliensis (rubber tree)
Lineage: Eukaryota; Viridiplantae; Streptophyta; Magnoliopsida; Malpighiales; Euphorbiaceae
Source: RNAcentral
GAAUAGAAUGAAUUUAAGAACUUACCCUCAUCGUGAUAAGACAGAUACAGUCAUUGAGCAUGAUACAUCUAAUCAGUUAGAAUCCUUGGAUUCGGUUCCUGCAUAUCUUGAGCCUGAGGACUUAUGUGGUAAGACCGCUUCUUUUGAUACUCAAUCUGAUUUUAAUUCUUCUGUUGAUGAUCUUGAUAUACCCAUUGGUUACAGAAAAGGGGUUAGGGCUUGCACCAAACAACCUAUAUCCAAGUUUGUUUCUUAUGAUUCUUUAUCU